GACGAACGCUGGCGGCGUGCUUAACACAUGCAAGUCGAACGGAAAGGCCCUGCUUUUGUGGGGUGCUCGAGUGGCGAACGGGUGAGUAACACGUGAGUAACCUGCCCUUGACUUUGGGAUAACUUCAGGAAACUGGGGCUAAUACCGGAUAGGAGCUCCUGCUGCAUGGUGGGGGUUGGAAAGUUUCGGCGGUUGGGGAUGGACUCGCGGCUUAUCAGCUUGUUGGUGGGGUAGUGGCUUACCAAGGCUUUGACGGGUAGCCGGCCUGAGAGGGUGACCGGCCACAUUGGGACUGAGAUACGGCCCAGACUCCUACGGGAGGCAGCAGUGGGGAAUAUUGCACAAUGGGCGGAAGCCUGAUGCAGCAACGCCGCGUGCGGGAUGACGGCCUUCGGGUUGUAAACCGCUUUCGCCUGUGACGAAGCGUGAGUGACGGUAAUGGGUAAAGAAGCACCGGCUAACUACGUGCCAGCAGCCGCGGUGAUACGUAGGGUGCGAGCGUUGUCCGGAUUUAUUGGGCGUAAAGGGCUCGUAGGUGGUUGAUCGCGUCGGAAGUGUAAUCUUGGGGCUUAACCCUAAGCGUGCUUUCGAUACGGGUUGACUUGAGGAAGGUAGGGGAGAAUGGAAUUCCUGGUGGAGCGGUGGAAUGCGCAGAUAUCAGGAGGAACACCAGUGGCGAAGGCGGUUCUCUGGGCCUUUCCUGACGCUGAGGAGCGAAAGCGUGGGGAGCGAACAGGCUUAGAUACCCUGGUAGUCCACGCUGUAAACGGUGGGUACUAGGUGUGGGGUCCAUUCCACGGGUUCCGUGCCGUAGCUAACGCUUUAAGUACCCCGCCUGGGGAGUACGGCCGCAAGGCUAAAACUCAAAGGAAUUGACGGGGCCCCGCACAAGCGGCGGAGCAUGCGGAUUAAUUCGAUGCAACGCGUAGAACCUUACCUGGGUUUGACAUGGAUCGGGAGCGCUCAGAGAUGGGUGUGCCUCUUUUGGGGUCGGUUCACAGGUGGUGCAUGGCUGUCGUCAGCUCGUGUCGUGAGAUGUUGGGUUAAGUCCCGCAACGAGCGCAACCCUUGUUCACUGUUGCUAGCACGUUAUGGUGGGGACUCAGUGGAGACCGCCGGGGUCAACUCGGAGGAAGGUGGGGAUGACGUCAAGUCAUCAUGCCCCUUAUGUCCAGGGCUUCACGCAUGCUACAAUGGCUGGUACAGAGAGUGGCGAGCCUGUGAGGGUGAGCGAAUCUCGGAAAGCCGGUCUCAGUUCGGAUUGGGGUCUGCAACUCGACCUCAUGAAGUCGGAGUCGCUAGUAAUCGCAGAUCAGCAACGCUGCGGUGAAUACGUUCCCGGGGCU
This 1346-nucleotide ribosomal RNA is filed under the name uncultured bacterium. Its description in RNAcentral is "bacterial SSU rRNA". It matches the Rfam family "Bacterial small subunit ribosomal RNA", at positions 28 to 1381 of the family's 1533-position model. The record is from RNAcentral.